Long non-coding RNA from Cygnus olor (mute swan), 693 nucleotides. RefSeq lists it as uncharacterized. NCBI's taxonomy places the organism in Eukaryota, Metazoa, Chordata, Aves, Anseriformes, Anatidae. The record is from RefSeq and is a predicted model, not a curated record. The transcript is spliced from 4 exons.
CGUAGACUGAACUCAGCACAGAGCAGCAGAGGAUCAAACCCAGGCUGUGAUAAACCAGAUAUGAUCCCAUAUCCAAGAGGCUCCUUCCAGCAUCCAAGCUCGCUCGGGGAAGUAGGAGGACGAGAGGUCUUCCAGCGCUCCGUUUUAGCCAGAAAGGCACAUGACAAGAAAGCCCGGUCCUUUGCUUCGCUUUCUCAUGGCUGGAGAUCUGGGCAGCUCCCUGAACGCAGCGGAGGAGCCCAUGUGAAGCGGAGCAACUCAGAGCUGCAGCCCCUGAAGCAGCGAUUUCUGCCGGGCGGUUGUGAUUUAGAAGGAGCCGAACGGAGUUAAAGAAGGGAAAAGAAAAACCACCACCAAAACCCACCGCCCUCGCUAGAUGUGUCGGAGAGCAGACGAUUGUAUCCAUGAACGUGUGUAUAACGAACCAAGAAGGAACACAGCACUAAAGGAAGCCUUUGUAAUGCUGCUAUUUUAAGGAGACCCUUGGGUCUUGGCACGUGCUGAACUGAGUUCCUUCAACAUCUUACAACAAAUCUCUCCAAAUGUUUAGAUCCUUCUACUGAUAUAAAACAAAAAAUCCGCAAUCAGUUUAAACUGGCUAAGGUUUUGACCAGAAAUUAUUGCUCUUGUGAAUUGGCUCUAUAUUUGUAGCUAACUUUUACACAGCCUAAUAAUAAACAUCUCCUCCUCCCA